UACGUAGGUGGCAAGCGUUGUCCGGAAUUACUGGGCGUAAAGGGCGUGUAGGCGGCCAUUUAAGUCAGACGUGAAAGCCCAAGGCUUAACCAUGGGACUGCGUUUGAAACUGGAUGGCUUGAGGAUCGGAGAGGGCAGUGGAAUUCCCAGUGUAGCGGUGAAAUGCGUAGAUAUUGGGAGGAACACCAGUGGCGAAGGCGACUGCCUGGACGACACCUGACGCUGAGGCGCGAAAGCUAGGGGAGCAAACGGG
Molecule: ribosomal RNA, 253 nt
Filed under: Hydrogenispora sp.
Lineage: Bacteria; Bacillati; Bacillota
Also listed under: 1 other name
Description: partial 16S ribosomal RNA
Rfam family: Bacterial small subunit ribosomal RNA
Source: RNAcentral